GUCGUAACAAGGUUUCCGUAGGUGAACCUGCGGAAGGAUCAUUCGCGCGCAUCCACACGCUUUGAACUGAAACUUGAAUGUGAGGUUCUGGGUGAGGUGGGGGUCGCAGAUCUGAAUCUCUCGUGCGGAAUUUCAAGGGCAGCAAAUUGGGGUAGCGUAGUCCUGCUGCUUUGAUCCUGCUGCCGUUCAUGCGUAUGCAGUUGUGUGUGUAGUGCCUGUGCAUUUUUGAGUUGAAGCCACCACAACUUUCAGCGAUGGAUGUCUCGGCUUGGACAACGAUGAAGGGCGCAGCGAAGUGUGAUAAGCAUUGUGAAUUGCAGAAUUCCGUGAACCAAUAGGGAUUUGAACGUAUACUGCGCUUUCGGGAUAUCCCUGAAAGCAUGCCUGCUUCAGUGUCUAUUGAUAUUCAUGCCACCAAUAUCAUCCAAGUCAUUUGGAUAUUUUGUGUGUGCGUAUCUGUGUGUCAAAGCGCUUCGUGCCUUUGAUGCAUUUAGUGUACAGGUGCUGUUAUCAACAAGCAAUUUGAAUAACACAUCGUGUUAUUUAUUGCUUUGGUGAUGAUGGUACACCUGCUCCAUAUCUCAUGUUUGAGAUUUCAUUCAAGACAUGAAGUUAGGUAAGCAAACCCGCUGAAUUUAAGCAUAUAAGUAAGCGGAGGAUAAGAAACUAAAUAGGAUUCCCUCAGUAAUGGCGAAUGAACAGGGAUGAGCUCAGUUUGGAAAUUGGGGCCCUUUGGGCCUUGAAUUGUAGUCUGGUGGGGGUUUCCCAACCAUGGCCGAGAUGUAACGCGUUGGAAAACGCAACCAUGGAGGGUGAGAGUCCCGUUUUUCAUCUCUAGUCCAUGGUGUACGGGUGCCUUUCAAAGAGUCGCGUUCCUCGGGACUGGAGCGUAAAUUGGGUGGUAAAUUUCAUCUAAAGCUAAAUAUUGGUUCGAGACCGAUAGCAAACAAGUACCAUGAGGAAAGGUGAAAAGGACUUUGAAAAGAGAGUUAAAAGUGCCUGAAAUUGCUGAAAGGGAAGCGAAUGGAACCAGUGUAUCUUGGUGAAAUUGUUGGUCGCUAUGGUAAUGGCUUGCUGUUUCACCGCAAGGGUUGCAGUGGGUUCUGAUCCUGACGUGAUUGAUGUUUUUCGCCUUGUGUGUCAACGUCGGUUCAGAUCUGAGGAUAACUCUGGGCAAAUGGAUAGUUGGAUGCUCUGACUGAAUGUGCCUGGUAGAACUCAGUUCUGAACUGAUUUCAAUAUGUCUGGUCGCAGUGCUCCGAUCAUGUGCUGCUGUUCCUUGUGAACUUCAGUGCUGUCUUUGGGGUACACUUCAGACAUAAAUACGAUGACUAAAUGGUUUUAUUCGACCCGUCUUGAAACACGGACCAAGGAGUCUAACAUAUGUGCGAGUUCACGGGUGUUAAACCUGCUUGCGCAAUGAAAGUGACUGCUGGGAUAUUUGCACCAGCAACCGACCAAUCGAUUGUGAGAGGUUUGAGUAUGAGCAUAUCUGUUAGGACCCGAAAGAUGGUGAACUAUGCGUGAA
This 1528-nucleotide ribosomal RNA is filed under the name Karlodinium veneficum. RNAcentral's name for it is "eukaryotic LSU rRNA". The stretch from base 603 to 1528 matches the Rfam family "Eukaryotic large subunit ribosomal RNA", at positions 1 to 841 of the family's 3401-position model. The record is from RNAcentral. Lineage: Eukaryota; Dinophyceae; Gymnodiniales; Kareniaceae.